UACAGAGGUCUCAAGCGUUGUUCGGAUUUAUUGGGCGUAAAGGGCGCGUAGGCGGCGGGGUAAGUCGGGUGUGAAAUCUCAGGGCUCAACCCUGAAACUGCACUUGAUACUGCUCUGCUUGAGGACUGGAGAGGAGACUGGAAUUCACGGUGUAGCAGUGAAAUGCGUAGAUAUCGUGAGGAAGACCAGUGGCGAAGGCGGGUCUCUGGACAGUAACUGACACUCAACUACGAAAGCGUGGGUAGCAAACAGG
This 253-nucleotide ribosomal RNA is filed under the name uncultured bacterium. RNAcentral's name for it is "partial 16S ribosomal RNA". It matches the Rfam family "Bacterial small subunit ribosomal RNA", at positions 524 to 776 of the family's 1533-position model. The record is from RNAcentral.